UGUUAUGUGAUUAUGUGAUAUUGGUGAAUUGGUUUGUCUGAGUACCUAUAAUUAUUUUUAAAUAUUAUGGGAUUAUUAUAUGAAUUUUAUGAAUUUGGUGUUAUCUGAUUUAUUGAAUUGACCGCUCUUAUGUGUUAGUAUUUGAGAGAUUUCAAUUUCUAUAUGCUCAGGAGAAAAUAUAGUUUAUUUGGAUAUUUUCAUAUCGAUUUAUGGAAUUUUAGAUGAUUUUAUAAUUGAUUUACGGAUUUAAUUGCGGAUAUUUAUAUUUAAUUAUUGAUCGGUUGAUUUCCGUAAAAUCGUCCCCUCGUAACGGUUUAGCGAUUUUUCUUCCCGAAAGUUUCAACAAAACUCACCUUUAGCCUAAUUUGAAUAUUCCGGACAUUUUUCGUGUUUUGACUUUUUCGAUCCGGAGUACGGUUUUCCCCGGAGUCGGUCCGGCGGAGUUUUUCGGGUAUUUUAAUUGUUGAUAAUUAUCUGGUUGUCUCGAUAAACGUGAAACUAGAUAUUUUGAUUCAUCCUUAUCUUGUAAUAAUUGCAGUGGGACCCGCAUACUAAUGACUGAUUAAAAAGCCCCGUUUUGAUGAUUAUCUUGAAAACCAGUACCGAUUGGACCCCGCUUUAUUAAUAUAAAGCUAUUAAAUACGUAUUUUCAUGUCAUAAACGAUCCAAAGGGGUACCAAUUAUUUGUAAAUAUAAAUAGACCUUUCUAGAGCUUAUUUUCACCGUAGAAAUCAUUUUCACCAGUUUCUCUGCACGAAUACCGAGAGAAACCGAGCGGUGUUCUUCGUGUUCUUCAUAAUCAAACGAAGAUUUGAAGGUGUUAUUGGAGUCAGAAUCAAGCGUGCGAAUAGUCAAAUCGAAGGUAUCGAAGAGUAGAACCUAUAUCUGCAAUCAAAAAACAACAUGAGAUUCACAGGUAAGGAGUAAUUGAAGUUUUAAAAUUCGAGUUAUUAAGAUUUAAAUAGUGGAUUUUUGAAAAUGUGAUUGUUUGACUAUUUUGAUGAUACCAUGUUGUAGUACGUGUUUUUCUCGUCGUUUUGGUAUAUUAUAUGUUUAAUUUGGGGUCCGGAAACGUAUAGAAAAAGCUGUUUGAUUCUUGAUGGAUGUUCUUGAAUUUCUGGGAAAUUGCUUGAAGCUUUUCAAUUCGUUUUGGGGAUUUUUAGUCCAUUGAUUCUGGGCGUAUGUUGAUAGCACCAUCAGGUAGAGCGAGUUGAGGGGAAUAAGUUUGUGUAUUUAGAUUGAAUGGAGGAGUUGUGGUUAAGCCUCGCCGGAGUUUUCAAGAAAUUCGGCGGCGGCAACUUCGAUCGGUUUUUCCAGCUGAUUGGCAAGCUUUUUGUUGAUUCUUAGAUCAUGAAUGGAUUUGUUGUAGUGUGUUUGAGGUAUCUGGAGCGUUUGGUAAAGAACGGUGGCCUGUACGGCCAUCUCCGGCGAGGUCGACGUCGGGGGGCGGCGGCCUGGCCAAAUUACAGUUUAGCCCCCCCAUGUUUUGGAAAUGAUGAAGUUCAGUCCUUGGACUUUUCGUUUUUGUAAAUCAAACCUCCGGCUUUCGAGUUUUACAAAACUAACCCCCAGUUUUCUAAACUUUCAAAUCAGCCCCUGUUUAAGUUUCCAAAGUUUAUAUUUUAAACCUUGGACUUUUAAAGACUUUCAAAAGUUUACAAAAUAAACCUUUUGAUUUAAUUUUCUAAAAUUGUUUUAUUUAAUUAUUUUAAAUUCCAAAAUAUAGUUUUUAAUUAUUUGUUUAUUCAAAAAUAAAUCUAAAUUAGUUUAUUAAUUACUUUUAAUUAGUAAUUAAUUAUUGUAAUUGGUCAAUUAAUUUAAAAGUUAAUUGAUUAAUUAUUUUAAUUAAUUAUUAAUUGAUUUUAAUUGGUUAAUUAAUUGGAUUUAAUUAUCCUUUUUGAUUUAAAAAUUCCGAAAAAUGGUUUCGAGCUUUAAAAUAUUUUUCCAAAUUAUUUUCAAGGCUCGAUAAUUGGUUAUGAAUGAUUUCAAGUCCAAUUUCAAGUAUUUGGGACUUGAUUAUUUAUCCGAAAAGUGAUUCUUUUAUCGAUUUUAAUUCCGAAAAAUGUUUAAAAAUUCUGGAAAAUUCCCGAAAAAUCAUUUUAAACCCGAGACUCGAUUUGACAUUAGUCGGGAUGGGAAAUCUUAUGUGUUAUGUGAUGUGUGUUAUUAGAGUGAUGUAUUAUGUGUUGAUAGAGGAAGUAGGAAACAAUUUGGAUCAUAUCUUUUGAUCCGUAAGCCGAAAUCGAGUGAAACGAAAGAGAGAUGAAAGCUCAUGGAGUCUAUUUUAAUAUGGCAAGAUAAUAUGAUCGAGUCUAGAAGGUGACUAUACGUUGUUUAAUAUGCACAAUGUGAUUAUAUGUUAUUUGAUUGCUAUUAAUUGAUGACUACGUGAUAUACAUGUUUAUUCAUGAUAGUAUAUGCGUGUGAUAAAUGAUUUGGAUGACAUAGUGUCGUGAGUUGAUUGAUAUUGGAUAAGAAUAUAUGGAUUAUAGUGAUUGGAUCUUGUUGGUUGAUUGUUGAUUGAGAUAGGAUAACAGGUGGAUAGUCUAAUAAAUAGACGAGACGAUGUCGGAUUUUCGAUAGGAUUCAUAUGAUAAUUGAUUGGUAAUAUGUUAUGUGGAAUAUGACUUGACUAUAUAUUAGAGUCAAAGCAUGAUUAUGUGUUAAGUGAUAUGUGAUAGGUUUAAAGGGGUAUAUAAGUGGGUAUCGAUAUACGUGAUAUGUAUAUGCGAUAUAUUGUUUAGUGACUAUAGUAUUAUCUUAUUCUCGUAAAGGAUUUGGACGAGACGUGUACGCUCGAAGACGUCAGAAAGUCGGAAUGGUAUUGCAAAGCGAAUAAGGGAUGAAUCGAGUAAGCGAAGCGAUGUGGCGAAUAGAGUAUAGCUAGAGAUGGUCUAGAGAUUACGAGAUGCAUAGAUUGUGAAAGUUGAAAGAUGAGAUAGAGAUGUGAGACUGGAGUCAGAUUUAAGGCAAGUAUCCUAAACCUUUCCCUUGGAUAUAUUGCAAAUAUUCUGAUCCAUUCCUUUGGUAUAUGUUUCAAGUAUUCAUACCUUUCUUUUCAAUGUUCGAAAGUGCGAGUAUUCUGAACCAUUCUUUCUAAUCUUCAAGUUUCUAAAGAAUUUCCGUUUUACAAAUUAAUUCGAAGUUCAGAUUGUCAUUGAAGCAUGUGUUGCUCAGUGAUAGUUAGAGCUUUGAAUGAAUUGGGAUCUUCUUGAUUAUUCAACCCGCCAUUGUCAUGCUGGUUUAGCAGGCUAAAUUCAGUUGCUUAGCCGAUAAUGGAGGAUACUGAAUAGUUGAGGAUUUCCUGAACUGUGAUUUAUGAAAUGAUGGAUCAUGAUUUAUGAAUAGAUUAUUAUCAAAGUUUGAAUUGGAAUUAUUCUGUUGUUGAUGAUAUUUAUGAUGAUGUUCUGUUAAUUUACAUUGGCUUCUUGAAUUGAAUUAGAGAAUUGGAUUAUUGUUUUUAUAUAAACCUGUGGACCAGAUUCGUGGUCAUGUUAGGCCAAUGAGUGCCUUGGAUCCAGUGAUAGAGCAUGGCGGGGCCUGCUCGGGGUUAGUGCGGAACUGAUCAGCUGCCUAACCUUGGUUUUAAUUAAAAUGUGAUAGUCCAAUUCAAUAAUUCUUUUGGAAAGAUUGAAUUCCUCAGUAUUCAAUUGCUGCAAGGUAUUGUGGUGUUCUUAUACAAUACCUAAACUCGUGAACUCAGGUUGAACCCUUUUAUAUCUUGAACUCGUGAAAUUCUAUUAUAUCAUUUCAGAACUAUCAUUGUUUAUUAUUACUUGCUGAGCAUUGUUGCUCACCCUUGCUAUUCCUUUCUAACCAUUUCAGAAAGGCUUAAAGAUGAGAUGAUUGAUUGAGAUUGUGAGUAAGGCUAAUGCUAGGCGAGGAGACAGAGUUGAGGAUCCAGUGGUCGAGGAGUGUUCAGGAAAGUUGAUGAGGUUGGUGCAAGCUGGAAUAGUUGACAGUGAUUCUUCUUAUCGAAGAUGAUCUGAUUUGGUAAGAGAUGUUGUGUAAUAAUAGUGGUAGAUUCUAAUUUCAAUACUGUAACCUGGAUGCGAUCCUGUUGCUUUUAGGGGGUUUAAAUGUUCUCUUUCGAAUCAUUUAUUAAAGUUUAAAUGUUCUCUUGAAAUUAUCCUAUUAUGGCUUUCAAGAUUGAAAUUCAGGUUUUGAAAUCAUUCGAUUUAUGUUCUCAUUCAAAUCUUUUAUUAAAUGUUUUCACGUUUUAAAUUCUUUUGGAUUUUCAUUAUCAUUUAAAAAAAAAAAAUACAGGUUUUCAAAAGUGUUUAAAAAUGGGUUUUAUGUGGUGACGUCAGAAUCCAGGCCCCCGGAUUCUCGGACCGUCACAGUUGGUAUCAGAGCAACAGGUUAUAAGUAUUUGAAAUUAGAAUAUAGAUCAUAGUUAUAGGUUUUCUAGAGAAGAAUGUGGUGUAACCUCACAUAGAGGUAUGGUCGGACUAUUUAGGAAUAGUCUAGAGAUGUGAGUGAAGCAUAGAGUUUAGUUAGAUGAUCAAGUUAAUUGUGGAUAUCUAAAGAGAUUAGGAUUCUUAAGUUUAGACAUAUGAUUUCUAGUAUGUUGAUUAAUUGAGAUGGUGAAUUAUGGGAAAGGUCAGUAUUAGACCUAUAUAGAAGAGUUUGAUAGUGAAUGAUUGAGUUGAGAAUGGUGAAAAUGCAGAGUUCAGAGUAUUCUGACUAUACUGCAUAUUUGAAAUUGGAUUAUUGUAUUGAUUUGAGGAUGAUAUAAAUGCAUGGUUCAUAGUAUGUUGACCAUGUCAGAUAUUUGGAAGAUGUAUAUUGUUUUGAGUGAAGAUAUGAAGAGUAAGUGUAGAGUAUGAGUUGUAUUGGAUUAGAAGGAGAGAUUGGUAGAUAGAGGUUGAUAGGUGAGAAGUGAAUGAUAGAGAGUACGUGGAAUUGAGUCCAGUUAUUAGAGAUGAUGUCUACGAGUAAGUUAGAACGUUAGUCCUCGACGACAACGCUUCGAGCUAAUCGGGAUUUCAAAUGGCAUCAAGGUGGGCCCAUAACCCACAGGUUGAUGAUCCAGACAAUCGAAGAUACGUUACGUGUUUGUGCUAUGGAUUUCAAAGGCAACUGGGAUAAAGUAGAAGAAUGUAAACUACAUGGGCCAGAGUUAUUACGGACGAUAACGUCUACGAUGAUAUUUUACGAGGCUAAUACGAGUCAAAUCGAUUGAUUAUCGGGAACGUUGAGAAGAAGACUUACGUCGAACAACGAUUUAUUGAAGUAGAGUCGAAAUCUGAGAAGACCUUGGCAAUACCUCUCUUCAACUAAAGAUUCUUUUGAUUGUUUUCUCAUCAGUGAGAUAUUAUUAUGAUAUCUUUUCUACAAAAGUUUUGAUAAAUGAGAUCUUCAAUUUCUCAAAUUCUAAGAUGACAUUGAUAUUGAUGAUUGGUAUGAGUUGGAAGACAAAGAUGUGUGAUAAAGGAUUGUUGUGAAGAGACAGUGAUGUUCUUUGAUAUUGUUUGACAUUUCUUGACAGUCCUUGAUAUUAUUUCAUCUUCUUGGAUAUCCCAUGAUGUUCUUUGAUAUUUUGAUAUCCGUUGAUAUUCGUUGAUAUUCUUUGACAUUCUUUGAUAUUCCUUGAUAUCUUUUCGAUGUUCCUUAAAAUAUUCCUCGAUAAUCCUUAACAUUUCUUGAUGCUCUUUGAGAUUUCUUGGAUUCUUUCCAUUUGAUUGGGAUGAACAACUCUAUUUAUAGGGGACACAAGGUAUACCUGUCUGUGUGAUAGGAGUUGGAUGGGACGCCAUCACUUGUGUGUGUUGUGAUUACAAGAAGGUUAACAACCUUUAGUAGUGUCUAAUAUAGACACGCAACAUUAAGUUCAUUUGAUCGUAUUGAUCUCCCAGUCACUCUUGUAUUCCAAUGUGACCUACUUUGAAAGCAUUUUGUUCCUCCAAAAUUCCCAAAGAUUGAUUCUUGGGAAAACGAAUUUGGCAAUUGUGAAAGUUUUGAUUCUCCUGUAUUUUUAAAAGCUAAAGGUAUGCCAAGGUUGAUCAAAAGAUGGAUGACGAUACGAUAUUACGAAGUGUGUACGGUUUCGUUUUCUUCGGGGGGUUCCGAGGACGGAAUCCUUAUAAGGGGGUAGAAUGUAAUAUCCCAUAUUUUUUAAAUUUAGACUUGAUUGUUAUAAAUCUAUCUGUCUAAAUAUUAUUGUUGGCUUUAGUUGAGAAGUGAAUUGAUUAUGUGAAUAGCUUUAUAUGAUUAUACCUGUUUUGUGGAUUAAUAUGGAUUUUACAAAUAUUGCAUCCUCCUUCUUUCUCUGAUUCCGAGGACGGAAUCCCUAUAAGGAGGGUAGAUUGUAAUGACCCGGAUUUUUUAAAAAUAUUUUUAUUAGUAUUAAAAGUGAUUUUUCUUUAAAGAAGGGAAUAAGAUUUAAUAUUUUAUUCCAGUUUAAGGAGUUUUCAAAAUUUUAUACUAAACCCCGGGUUAUUGUGUUAUUGAUAAAUGAUUAUAUUUUUAAAACUGAUUUUCAUAUAUUGUUUCGAAAAUUCUAGAUGAUUAUUAUGUGAAUAUAUGUGUGAUGUGAGUAAGUGGUAUUGGUGGAUUUGUUGGUUAAUUAAUUAUGGUUAAUUAUGAGUAUUAUAUGAUUAAUAUAUGAAUUUUUGUGAAUUUUAUAUUAUCUGGUUUAUUGCGUUAACUGCUCAUAUGUGUUCGUAUUUGAGAGAUUUCAAUUUCUAUAUGCUCAGGAGAAAAUAUAGUUUAUUUGGAUAUUUUCAUAUCGAUUUAUGGAAUGUUAGAUGAUUUUAUAAUCGAUUUACGGAUUUAAUUGCGUAUAUUUAUAUUUAAUUAUUAAUUAUUUGACUUCCGUAAAACCGUCCACUCGUAACGAGGUAGCAAAUUUUCUUCCCGGAAGUUUCAACAAAACUGACCUUUAGCCUAAUUUGAAUAUUCCGGACACUUUUCGUGUUUUGACUUUUUCGAUCCGGAGUACGGUUUUCCCCGGAGUCGGUCCGGCGGAGUUUUUCGGGUAUUUUAAUUGUUGAUAAUUAUCCAGUUUGUCUCGAUAAACGUGAAACGAGAUAUUUUGAUUAUUAUAUUAAUUCUUAUCUUGUAAUAAUUGCAAUGGGACCCGCAUACUAAUGACUGAUUAAAAAGCCCCGUUUUGAUGAUUAUCUUGAAAACCAGUACCGAUUGGACCCCGCUUUAUUAAUAUAAAGCUAUUAAAUACGUAUUUUCAUGUCAUAAACGAUCCAAAGGGGUACCAAUUAUUUGUAAAUAUAAAUAGACCUUUCUAGAGCUUAUUUUCACCCGUAAAAUCAUUUCACCAGUUUCUUUGCACGAAUACCGAGAGAAACCGAGCGGUGUUCUUCGUGUUCUUCAUAAUCAAACGAAGAUUUGAAGGUGUUAUUGGAGUCAGAAUCAAGCGUGCAAAUAGUCAAAUCGAAGAUAUCGAAGAGUAGAACCCAAAUCAAUCAUCAAAAACAACAUGAGAUUCACAGGUAGGGAGUAAUUGAAGUUUUAAAAUUCGAAUUAUUAUGAUUUAAAUAGUGAAUUUUUGCAAACGUGUUUGUUUGAUUGUUUGGAUGAUUCCAUGUUGUAGAACGUGUUUUUCUCGUCGUUUUGGUAUAUUAUAUGUUGAAUUUUGAGUUCGGAAACAUCUAGAAAAGUGGGUUUGAUUAUUUGGUUGUGUUCUUGGUGUUCUUGAGGUGUUCAUAAAUAUUUUCACCGGAUUUUUUAUUAGAUGAAUCUGGGUGCAAUAUGAGGGUACCAUCAGGGGUGUUGGGUUACCAGGAGUUUGUUGGUGGUCUUGGAUGUUUCGUGGGUGCUCGAUUUCGAGCAAAUCGGGAAGGGAGGUGACUCGCCGGCGGCGAGUUUUUCCCGUCAUAUUCCAGCCAAACGGCUUGAGGAAUCGCAGAAACGAAGCCAUGUCCAAGUUCCCAGUAGUGUCUAGGCCAUAUCUGGAGGUUUUAGUGUGUGUUGGAGCGCUGUAGCGCCGUUAACGGUGAAGCAGUGGUGGCCGGCGGCAAAUUGCCAUUUGGCCACCCAACUUAUGAAGAUGGUGAAGAUCUGGUAUCGAGGUUUUGAAUCUUACAAAGUAACCCCUGUAACUUCUAAAAGUUACAGUUUAAACCUUGGCCGAAAAGUUUCAAAAGUUUACAAAAUAAACCUUUUGAUUUAAUUUUCUAAAAUUGUUUUAUUUAAUUAUUUUAAAUUUCAAAAAUAGUUUUUAAUUAUUUCUUUAUUCAAAAAUAAAUCUAAAUUAGUUUAUUAAUUAAUUUUAAUUAGUAAUUAAUUAUUUUAAUUGGUCAAUUAAUUUAAAUAUUAAUUGAUUAAUUAUUUUAAUUAAUUAUUAAUUGAUUUUAAUUGAUUAAUUAAUUGGAUUUAAUUAUCCUUUUUGAUUUAAAAAUUCCGAAAAAUAGUUUCGAGCUUUAAAAUAUUUUUCCAAAUUAUAUUCAAGGCUCGAUAAUUGUUUAUGAAUGAUUUCAAGUCCAAUUUCAAGUAUUUGGGACUUGAUUAUUUAUCCGAAAAGUGAUUCUUUUAUCGAUUUUAAUUCCGAAAAAUGUUUAAAAAUUCCAGAAAAUUCCCGAAAAAUCAUUUUGAACCCAAGAUUUGAUUUGACCUCUAUUGGGGUGGGAAACCUUAUGUGUAAUGUGUUGUCUGCUAUUGGUUGGAUGUCUUAUGUGUCGAUAUAAGAGUGAGAAAACGGUUUUAAACAUAUCUUUUGAUCCGUAAGUCGGAAUCGAGUGAAACGAAAGAGAGAUGAAAGCUUAUAAAGUCUAGUUUGGUAUGACAUAAUAAUAUGAUGGAGUCGAGAAUGUGAAUAAUUGUUGUUAAAUGUGCCGAAUGUGAUUAUAUGUUAUUGGAUUGUUAUUAAUUGAUGACUACGUGAUAUAUAUGUCUAUUCUUGAUAUUAUAUACGUGAUAAAUGAUUUGGAUGACAUAGUGUCGUGAGUUGAUUGAUAUUGGAUAAGAAUAUAUGGAUUAUAGUGAUUGGAUCUUGUUGAUUGGUUGUUGAUUGAGAUAGGAUAACAGGUGGAUAGUCUUAUACAUAGAGGAAACGAUGUCGGAAUUUCGAUAAGGAUUGAUAUGAUAAUUGAUUGGUGAUAUGUUAUGUGGAAUAUGAUUGAUUAUAUGUUAGAGUCAAAGCAUGCUUAUGUGUUACGUGGUAUGUGAUAGGUUUAAAGGGGUAUAUAAGUGGAUAUCGAUAUACGUGAUAUGUAUAUGCGAUAUAUUGUUUAGUGACUAUAGCAUUAUCUUAUUCUCGUAAAGGAUUUGGACGAGACGUGUACGCUCGAAGACGUCAGAAAGUCGGAAUGGUAUUGCAAAGCGAAUAAGGGAUGAUUGAGUAAGCGAAGCGAAGUGGCGAAUAGAGUAUAGCUAGAGAUGGUCUAGAGAUUACGAGAUGCAUAGAUUGUGAAAGUGGAAAGAUGAGAUAGAGAUGUGAGACUGGAGUCAGAUUUAAGGCAAGUAUCCUACACCCAUCUUUUGGAUAUCUUGCAAUUAUCCUGAUCCAUUCUUUUCGUAUGUGUUGCAAAUAUUCGUUCCUCUCUUUUUCAUAUUUGGAAAGUGCAAAUAUUUUUAUCCAUCCUUUUCUAAUCCUCCAAAAAUUCAGAUAAUUCCAGUUUUACAAAUUAAUUCGAAGUUCAAAUUGUCAUUGAAGCAUGUGUUGCUCAGUGAUAGUUAGAGCUUUGAAUGAAUUGGGAUCUUCUUGAUUAUUCACCCCGCCAUUGUCAUGCUGGUUUAGCAGGCUAAAUUCAGUUGCUUAGCCGAUAAUGGAGGAUACUGAAUAGUUGAGGAUUUCCUGAACUGUGAUUUAUGAAAUGAUGGAUCAUGAUUUAUGAAUAGAUUAUUAUCAAAGUUUGAAUUGGAAUUAUUCUGUUGUUGAUGAUAUUUAUGAUGAUGUUCUGUUAAUUUACAUUGGCUUCUUGAAUUGAAUUAGAGAAUUGGAUUAUUGUUUUUAUAUAAACCUGUGGACCAGAUUCGUGGUCAUGUUAGGCCAAUGAGUGCCUUGGAUCCAGUGAUAGAGCAUGGCGGGGCCUGCUCGGGGUUAGUGCGGAACUGAUCAGCUGCCUAACCUUGGUUUUAAUUAAAAUGUGAUAGUCCAAUUCAAUAAUUCUUUGGAAAGAUUGAAUUUCUCAGUUUAAAUGCUGCAAGGUAUUGUAAAUCAUUCUAUACAAUACCAUGAACUCAUGAACUCAGGUUGAAUCCUCUUAUAUCUUGAACUCGUGAACUUCUGUUAUAUCAUUUCAGAACUAUCAUUGUUUAUUAUUACUUGCUGAGCAUUGUUGCUCACCCUUGCUAUUCCUUUCUAACCAUUUCAGAAAGGCUUAAAGAUGAGAUGAUUGAUUGAGAUUGUGAGUAAGGCUAAUGCUAGGCGAGGAGACAGAGUUGAGGAUCCAGUGGUCGAGGAGUGUUCAGGAAAGUUGAUGAGGUUGGUGCAAGCUGGAAUAGUUGACAGUGAUUCUUCUUAUUGAGGAUGAUCUGAUUUGGUAAGAGAUGUUGUGUAAUAAUAGUGGUAGAUUCUAAUUUCAAUACUGUAACCUGGAUGCGAU
Molecule: long non-coding RNA, 10505 nt
Filed under: Daucus carota (carrot)
Lineage: Eukaryota; Viridiplantae; Streptophyta; Magnoliopsida; Apiales; Apiaceae
Description: long non-coding RNA (DCAR_LNC005415)
Source: RNAcentral